RNAcentral lists this non-coding RNA (71 nucleotides) under Oribacterium sp. WCC10. The record is from RNAcentral. Lineage: Bacteria; Bacillati; Bacillota; Clostridia; Lachnospirales; Lachnospiraceae.
AAGCGCCGUAUACCGAACGGUACGUACGGUGCUGUGAGAGGACGGCGGUUUGUCACCGCCUCCUACUCGAU